Molecule: ribosomal RNA, 809 nt
Filed under: Bacillus zhangzhouensis
Lineage: Bacteria; Bacillati; Bacillota; Bacilli; Caryophanales; Bacillaceae
Description: bacterial SSU rRNA
Rfam family: Bacterial small subunit ribosomal RNA
Source: RNAcentral
AGCUUGCUCCCGGAUGUUAGCGGCGGACGGGUGAGUAACACGUGGGUAACCUGCCUGUAAGACUGGGAUAACUCCGGGAAACCGGAGCUAAUACCGGAUAGUUCCUUGAACCGCAUGGUUCAAGGAUGAAAGACGGUUUCGGCUGUCACUUACAGAUGGACCCGCGGCGCAUUAGCUAGUUGGUGGGGUAAUGGCUCACCAAGGCGACGAUGCGUAGCCGACCUGAGAGGGUGAUCGGCCACACUGGGACUGAGACACGGCCCAGACUCCUACGGGAGGCAGCAGUAGGGAAUCUUCCGCAAUGGACGAAAGUCUGACGGAGCAACGCCGCGUGAGUGAUGAAGGUUUUCGGAUCGUAAAGCUCUGUUGUUAGGGAAGAACAAGUGCGAGAGUAACUGCUCGCACCUUGACGGUACCUAACCAGAAAGCCACGGCUAACUACGUGCCAGCAGCCGCGGUAAUACGUAGGUGGCAAGCGUUGUCCGGAAUUAUUGGGCGUAAAGGGCUCGCAGGCGGUUUCUUAAGUCUGAUGUGAAAGCCCCCGGCUCAACCGGGGAGGGUCAUUGGAAACUGGGAAACUUGAGUGCAGAAGAGGAGAGUGGAAUUCCACGUGUAGCGGUGAAAUGCGUAGAGAUGUGGAGGAACACCAGUGGCGAAGGCGACUCUCUGGUCUGUAACUGACGCUGAAGAGCGAAAGCGUGGGGAGCGAACAGGAUUAGAUACCCUGGUAGUCCACGCCGUAAACGAUGAGUGCUAAGUGUUAAGGGGUUUCCGCCCCUUAGUGCUGCAGCUAACGCAUUAAGCACUCC